GACGAACGCUGGCGGCGUGCCUAAUACAUGCAAGUAGAACGCUGAAGAGAGGAGCUUGCUCUUCUUGGAUGAGUUGCGAACGGGUGAGUAACGCGUAGGCAACCUGCCUUGUAGCGGGGGAUAACUAUUGGAAACGAUAGCUAAUACCGCAUAACAAUGGAUGACACAUGUCAUUUAUUUGAAAGGGGCAAUUGCUCCACUACAAGAUGGACCUGCGUUGUAUUAGCUAGUAGGUGAGGUAAUGGCUCACCUAGGCGACGAUACAUAGCCGACCUGAGAGGGUGAUCGGCCACACUGGGACUGAGACACGGCCCAGACUCCUACGGGAGGCAGCAGUAGGGAAUCUUCGGCAAUGAGGGCAACCCUGACCGAGCAACGCCGCGUGAGUGAAGAAGGUUUUCGGAUCGUAAAGCUCUGUUGUAAGUCAAGAACGGGUGUGAGAGUGGAAAGUUCACACUGUGACGGUAGCUUACCAGAAAGGGACGGCUAACUACGUG
RNAcentral lists this ribosomal RNA (497 nucleotides) under uncultured bacterium. RNAcentral's name for it is "partial 16S ribosomal RNA". It matches the Rfam family "Bacterial small subunit ribosomal RNA", at positions 28 to 507 of the family's 1533-position model. The record is from RNAcentral.